GUAGUUGUGGCCGAGUUGUUAAGUGAUGGACUAGAAAUCCAUUGGGAUCUCCCUGUGCAAAUGCAAAUCCUGUCGACUAUG
RNAcentral lists this transfer RNA (81 nucleotides) under Xenopus laevis (African clawed frog). It matches the Rfam family "tRNA". From Rfam's summary of the family: Transfer RNA (tRNA) molecules are approximately 80 nucleotides in length. Their secondary structure includes four short double-helical elements and three loops (D, anti-codon, and T loops). The record is from Rfam by way of RNAcentral. Lineage: Eukaryota; Metazoa; Chordata; Amphibia; Anura; Pipidae.